GCCGGGUGUGGUAGCACACACCUGUAAUCCCAGCUGCUCAGGAGGCUGCGGCAGGAGAACUGUGAGUUCAAAGCCAGCCUCAGCAACUUAGCAAGGCCCUAGGCAACACAGAGAGAUCCUGUCUCUA
This 127-nucleotide small RNA is filed under the name Marmota monax (woodchuck). Lineage: Eukaryota; Metazoa; Chordata; Mammalia; Rodentia; Sciuridae. The record is from RNAcentral.